GCUCAGGUGCGAAAGCGUGGGGAGCAAACAGGAUUAGAUACCCUGGUAGUCCACGCCGUAAACGAUGUCGACUUGGAGGUUGUGCCCUUGAGGCGUGGCUUCCGGAGCUAACGCGUUAAGUCGACCGCCUGGGGAGUACGGCCGCAAGGUUAAAACUCAAAUGAAUUGACGGGGGCCCGCACAAGCGGUGGAGCAUGUGGUUUAAUUCGAUGCAACGCGAAGAACCUUACCUGGUCUUGACAUCCACAGAACUUUCCAGAGAUGGAUUGGUGCCUUCGGGAACUGUGAGACAGGUGCUGCAUGGCUGUCGUCAGCUCGUGUUGUGAAAUGUUGGGUUAAGUCCCGCAACGAGCGCAACCCUUAUCCUUUGUUGCCAGCGGUCCGGCCGGGAACUCAAAGGAGACUGCCAGUGAUAAACUGGAGGAAGGUGGGGAUGACGU
Molecule: ribosomal RNA, 440 nt
Filed under: Escherichia coli
Lineage: Bacteria; Pseudomonadati; Pseudomonadota; Gammaproteobacteria; Enterobacterales; Enterobacteriaceae
Description: bacterial SSU rRNA
Rfam family: Bacterial small subunit ribosomal RNA
Source: RNAcentral